RNAcentral lists this long non-coding RNA (1395 nucleotides) under Musa acuminata (dwarf banana). RNAcentral describes it as "long non-coding RNA (MACU_LNC003116)". Lineage: Eukaryota; Viridiplantae; Streptophyta; Magnoliopsida; Zingiberales; Musaceae. The record is from RNAcentral.
AGAUAGUGACUAUGCUCCUGGGGAUUUCCAGUAACAACAGAGCUCUGGUUGCCCUUUAUUUGCUCUUUUCCAUCAUUGCAGACCAAAUGGUUGCAGCGAAAAUAGUAAAACUGAAUAUAAACAAAUGGGAGUCUCCUUCAGAAUGUGCAGUCAAAUCUAUAUAUUUUCCAACAAGGCUAGAAGAUAUUCUGCCACCGGUAUAUGUAUCUUCUCCCACUAAUUAGGAAACCCUAAUAAGAACCUUGUUCAUGUAAGGCCUGGGAAUGAGCCACUAACUGAUUCAACAGUCUUCCUUAAGAUAGGAUUGGCUAGUGGAGGAGGCUUGCUGUGAAUGUUUUAUGGUCAGGAUAAUGUCUAGGCACCUAAACAAAUUCUGGUACACCACAUUGGACUAACACUCUUGAGGAUCAUAAUGGAUGUUUCACAUUAGAUACUAAGUUCACUACUCAGAAAUAUAAACAGAAACAGUUAUGCAUUCUUCACUAAUAGUUAUUGUAUGUUAGCUAGUGUGACCCCAUACCAGUCCCACAUAGGAAGUGAGAAGAUAGUGUAUAUAAAGCUAGAUGGGCAUGGGUUUAAGCAUUUUGAGUCAUGUGGAAAAAUGUUCAUUAUAUCCAAGUUUUGUGCCAGUGGAACUAGCACAAGGGAUGUGCACUAAUAAGGUAAGGACUCCCUGUAGAUUACAGAGCCAUCACUAUGACAUGAGCCUGACAAGUCACCUACUAAUAAAUUAUUCAGGGCUACCAAGCCUUUAAGCAGGAGAGAUUGUAACAUCCCAGUUAGUAUCACAUCAAAGAGUAAAAAAUGGGCAUGAUGGUAAGGCUAUCUAGGCUUACUAUUACUAAUGUAUGCUUAAGCAUCUUAGGCCACAUGGUUUAAGGCCAACUGAUUUGGAUUUCAAACCAAUCAACCAACAAGUCCAGUUUGGGACUGAGAGAAACAUGAAAUUACUAGUAGUGGUGGGACCUUGACUGAGAGUAAAUAACAUUAUAACAAUACUACUAUCACACUUAGUAAUGUAAUCAUGCUUCUCAAAUAGAUUAUCUACAUCACCUUUAUGUGCUGAAUGUGCAGGUGUCUAUCUUAUUUUAAGAGCUGUAACUGCAAUGGCUAUUUAUCAUGAAGGCACAUUUCAUAUCCCCAUCCAAGCUUUAUGCUACAUCAUGAUCUUAAUAAGAUCGAUACUUAUACAUAUCACAGGACCCAGAGUUACUAUGAUUUAGUAAAGUAAUAACCAAGGUUCGCAAUACCGUACCGUACCGAUAUUUCGACCUGGGCUCGGUACCGGUACGGUACGGUGUACCGAGCGGUACACCUAGGUGCACCGAGCACUGUAGCACUGCCUUGGUAAUAACCAAGGUAUACAGUUUUGAAUAAUAUCGCCCGGUAUGGGCG